Molecule: long non-coding RNA, 2756 nt
Organism: Harpia harpyja (harpy eagle)
Lineage: Eukaryota; Metazoa; Chordata; Aves; Accipitriformes; Accipitridae
Exons: 3
Source: RefSeq, a predicted model, not a curated record
CCAUCGUGCCAUAAACGUGCAAGGUACGGGCACAGGUGUGAGCGAGGGUGCUGUGGGGUGCCGGCCGUGCGAGUCCCCUGCCCUGGCAGAUCACAGGUGAAAAGAAUUGCGGAGGUCUCGUCCAGAUGCCUUUUGCCAAUGACAAAGUCCUUGUUCUGGUCACAGAAGUGGGGAAUAGCUGGCGGUGGCUGUCAGCCCUUCCUCAGGGAGCCCCUGAUGCCCAAGUGCCACAGCUGGGGUCUGAGGCGUGUUGGCAGAGUGACAUCGUGCCCCGGGAUGCUGAGCUGGAGAAGGCAGGGAUGCACCCUGCCAGCCCCGGGACGCGUGGGUGGGCACCGGCGCGGAGCUCUGUGCUGGAGCAAUGGGACGAGGGACCCCCGGGAGGGAGCCAAUGUCCAUCCUGAAAGCUGUGUGACCACUGGGAUCAGGAGGCGGCACAGGAUCUGAUUGCCGGCACCGCGGCUGGGAGCACCGGGCCGGGUCUGAAAUGCAUCGGCAGGUCGGUGUGAGGAGCUGUGCUUAAGAGCCACAACACUGAAUCAUUUCCCAGAAAUCCCCUGUCAGUCUAACCAUAAACACCGAGGACAGUGGAAGGUGGGGAGAUGUGUGUUUCUUCAAUUUCCUACAACAAAGCAAGCGUAAAGGGGAUUAAGAAGGCAACGCUGGGGGAAAAGAGAGCGAUUUAGAAGGGUGUGGGAAAAGCUGAGCACCGUCUCCUGGAAGCAGCAAACAUAAACCCACAACGGCAACAGAUGCCGGACCUGAUGCCCUACCUGGGAGCACUGGGAAAAAGCCUGCUUUGUGUCUGGCUGCUCCUCUUCCUUGCCGCAUGCCUGGGGAUGAGCUCAGCUUACAUGUGGCCAUGUCUAAUCCAGGCACACAGUGGACCCAGCUCUAAGGGGUCUGUGCGCCGUGCAGGCGAGCCGGAGGGUGGGCUGGACUGCACAGCCAUUCCUGGGGGCAACGGCAGCAGGAUUUGUGGUGACGGUCAGUGUUUGGCUCCUGUGUGCUGGGCAGGAGAGCAGGAUCUGCCGUCGGGGCUGGCAAGAGAGAUUGGGGCUGGGUCAGCCUGGCAGGAGGCAGGAUGGUGCCGGUGAGACUUGGCUAGAGGAUGCCUUUAAAUCCAGCGUGGGCUGCUGCCUAGUGGGCUCAGCCCACAGCCACCUGCAGACCCGCGGAGGAGAGGGCUGCAUCUCCCAGAGCUGACCCUGCAGCCUCUCUGCUUUGGUGCAGCUCCCCCUUCCCUGCUUGUUCCCUCUUGCCCAGUCCCCUUUCCGAAGCAGUUGCAAUGAUUCACAUACUUUCCCCAUUAAACCCCCUCAGCCAGUGCUGCUGGCUCAGGUGGUGACAAGGACGACGUGGACUUUCCUGUUCCUCUCAAAAAUCACAGAGGGUACAGUGAGGGACCUUUGGAAAUGCUCUGGAUGCAUCUGUAGGACCAGGUUGUGCCAUGCUCAACGCUGGUGUGACCCACCCCCAGGUUGCUCCCAGCAGAGCCCAUGCGUAUUACGCGACAAAACUCUUUGAAAGAGCCUCGGGGGUUAAAGACGGAGCCCUGUGUCUACUCUGAGCUGCCAGACGAGGAGCCGUUCAUCUUCAGACCCUUUUCUUGGGGCUGGUGGAGAGGAGAAGGGAGGGCAGCAGCUUCCCAGCCCAAGGCUUGGUGAUAACACUGGGAUUGCCACUGUGGGGGAUGCCCAUGGUGUAGGUACCAGCAAGCCCAUGGAAAUCCCCCCCGGUGUGUGUGGUCUGGGGAGGGCUGUGGGGAGAAGGGGGCUCUGGUCUGGACCUGUAUCUCAGCAGGAGUGUGAGCUGCCCUGGGCUUGCUCUUUUCACCAGUUCCAAAUCUGUGAAGGGAUGAACGGCAUGGCUGCUUUUCCCACCCAGCCUCCUUCCCUCUCCCCUCCUUCCAAGCCUGUUGCAUGCUUUUAUCAAUUUGGAGGGUUUGUCUGAGUGAGAGUUCAAAUGUCUUGUAAUCCCGUGGUGUAGGUAUGCUGGAAGGCAAACAGACGUGAUCCUGGGAUGUGGACAUUAGCGAUGACCCACGGAUUAUCCUGGUACUCCUGGUGCACCCUGAGGAUCCUCUGAGGGCUGAGUUUGCCUUUCAGGAGAGGAAACAAGAUUAGACACUUUCUAAAACACAAAAGUGUUAUGCUAAAAGCGGACAGCGGCCGUCAUCUUUGCUCCAAAGACUUUUAAGGGCCUCGCGAGAGACAGUGGCGGUGCCAACCACCUUCCUCAGGCUCCAGAGAGCUUGGCUUAUGUGGUGGAAAUGGCCAGGGGCACCUUGGCUUCUGCCCAACGCCCCUGGCACAGCAAAGCCAAGCCACGCAGAGAUGGACAGCAGAGGAAAGGACAUGUACUGGGUGUUUUUCACCCUAGAUGGUGAACGCACGAGAGCUACCUGGAGGUAAAACCAGAGAUGCUUUGGCUUUACCAGAAGGUGGGCUUGCUCCGUUGCCUUCCUGCGGAGAGUUAAUGACUGAGGGCCUAUUGCGCAGUACAAUUAAAGUGCUUGGUUUCCCAGCCAUUUUUAGGUCGGCUGUGUUAAUUACCCUGACCCAGCUAUUCUAGUUGUGCACUCAAAGUCUGCGACAGCCGGCACAGACGUCGUCUUGGUGGGGAAGGGCUGGAGAAGGCUUUGUGUAACCCUGUGAGGAAGCAGAGGAGGCACAUGUUGUACCAUAGCCCAGCUGGGAGCUGGGUGUUUUUUAGCUGCUUAUUUACAAUAUAUGCCCAUGGCAGAAACAAGAAUA